AGCUCCAAUAGCGUACAUUAAAGUUGUUGCAGUUAAAACGCUUGUAGUUGGAUUUCUGGCUGUGCAUGGGGGUCGACUUUUUGAGUUGGCACCAUACAUGUCUGGCCAUUCUUUGGGAGAGCCACAGUGGCAUUAAGUUGUUGGUGUGGGGAUCUCAAUCCUUUACUGUGAAGAAAUUAGAGUGUUCAAAGCAGACUUACGUCGUUGAAUAUUUUAGCAUGGAAUAAUGACAUAGGACUUUUGUACUAUUUUGUUGGUUUGCGAGUAAAAGUAAUGAAUAACAGGGACAGUUGGGGGUAUUUGUAUUUCAUUGUCAGAUGUGAAAUUCUUGGAUUUUUGGAAGACAAACUACUGCGAAAGUAUUUACCAAAGAUGUUUUCA
RNAcentral lists this ribosomal RNA (381 nucleotides) under uncultured eukaryote. RNAcentral describes it as "SSU rRNA". It matches the Rfam family "Eukaryotic small subunit ribosomal RNA", at positions 587 to 972 of the family's 1831-position model. The record is from RNAcentral.